This is a long non-coding RNA of Megachile rotundata (alfalfa leafcutting bee), 1313 nucleotides long. The record is from RefSeq and is a predicted model, not a curated record. Lineage: Eukaryota; Metazoa; Arthropoda; Insecta; Hymenoptera; Megachilidae.
UUUGCAUAAACUUGCUAUUAAAAUUUUUGCAUAAACUUUUUAAAAUUCCGCUAUAAAAAAUCUUUAAAUAUCAGUCUUAAAAAUGAGCCCAAUUUAAUCAGCACCAAAUUUCAUCUAAACGCUUGUUAAACAAUCUAUUUUAAUUUAGAACAGAGUUUCGUCUCUGUCGUUUCCCUCGGAAAUUCUAUAAAUUCAUCGAGCAACCAGAACGUUUCUCCAUUCACGCACAAUCUACGCUUUGUAACGGCACAGUGUGUAAUACACGUAAUCUUUCGUGAUCGGGCUGCACACCAAUCGCGAAACACAUUCCGAAAAUUGCACACAUACGACGAUUAAAGGCGGAAGUUUCGCCGACACAGGAAACGUUUGUCUAAACGCCGUGGAUAAAUAAACCGUGGUUAACUAUUGCACCGUUCAAUCGCAGCGUUAACAUUCGAUUCGAUCCGAUCACGAUCUAACACUUUUUCAAUCAUUUCCUACAUCUUACUUUAUUUACAAAUCAUUCUACAUUUUUAAUUUUUAUUUUUCAAUUUUUAUUUUGAAGUUGUACGUGCUUUUAAAGUAUGUAAUUUUAUCUGAUCAUGUAAACGCAAUUUUAUUUAAAAUACGAGAUUCGAAAUCUUUUUAUCUCAUCGCAAAGAGAAAUCGAUCAGGUUUAAUCUGUUAAUUGGUCGAUUUUUUAUAGCCACAUUUUAUACGUGUAAGAAGAUAAAUGUACGUAGAUUAGUUCGAUCCGGAAGUAUCCUACUAAAAGUUUACCAGAACCGUUUUUUAAUAAAUGUCUGUAUCUAAAAAUCGUGUUAAUUCGUCGUAAGCAAUUAACAGAUUAAAUCAAGCUUCAUGAACGAGAGAAAAUUUGACUUUCAGUAAAAAGUUUCUAGGAAUGUUCAUCUAAGAUAGCACAAAUUUUUAUACCGAAGGAUGAUUUACAACGAAGUUACAGAGAGACAGAACGAGGAGCAUUAAAACGAGAGACACGCAUAAAUAGCCGUAGACGAAGCUAGGGACACAUUGUGUACCAUUUUGAACCGGUGAAUAAGUUUUACGAGGACGAUUUAUUAAUAACCGGACACUACUUCCCAACACAGUUCUUGUCGUAUUCUAGCGGGCAAGCUUUUAAACGUUGCACAACUAAAAAAGACGAGAGAGAAUCGAAGAGAGAAUUUUAUGUGUGAGAGUGAACGAGUGUGAGUGAGAAAAUGGAAGGAGUGGCACGAGAUAAUAGAUUAAGAAGAUCACACGAUGUACGAUCGAACUGUAACCGAAGUAAAGUUGAUGUUAUUUAAAGUAAUAAAAGGAAAAUAUUAUAUACA